GACGAACGCUGGCGGCGUGCCUAAUACAUGCAAGUCGAGCGGACUUUCAAGAAGCUUGCUUUUUGAAAGUUAGCGGCGGACGGGUGAGUAACACGUGGGCAACCUGCCUGCAAGACGGGGAUAACUCCGGGAAACCGGGGCUAAUACCGGAUAAUAUCUUCCUUCGCAUGAAGGAAGGUUGAAAGGCGGCGCAAGCUGCCGCUUGCAGAUGGGCCCGCGGCGCAUUAGCUAGUUGGUGAGGUAACGGCUCACCAAGGCGACGAUGCGUAGCCGACCUGAGAGGGUGAUCGGCCACACUGGGACUGAGACACGGCCCAGACUCCUACGGGAGGCAGCAGUAGGGAAUCUUCCGCAAUGGACGAAAGUCUGACGGAGCAACGCCGCGGGAGCGAAGAAGGGCUUCGGAUCGUAAAGCUCUGUUGUCAGGGAAGAACAAGUACCGUUCGAACAGGGCGGUACCUUGACGGUACCUGACCAGAAAGCCACGGCUAACUACGUG
This 499-nucleotide ribosomal RNA is filed under the name uncultured bacterium. RNAcentral's name for it is "partial 16S ribosomal RNA". It matches the Rfam family "Bacterial small subunit ribosomal RNA", at positions 28 to 507 of the family's 1533-position model. The record is from RNAcentral.